This 80-nucleotide non-coding RNA is filed under the name unclassified sequences. RNAcentral describes it as "pemK RNA". It matches the Rfam family "pemK RNA". The record is from RNAcentral.
AUAAUGAUACUUCAGCUCGGCUUAGGUGUGAUGCCAGAGGAGUUGCUCGGUUGUAAACGGAGAGGUUGAAAUACCUAUGA